CUCUUCCUCUCUUCCUCCUCCUUCUUUUUCUUCCUCCUCCUCCUCCUCCUCCCCCUCCUCCUCCUCUUUUUCCUAACAUAGUUAAAGAAAGUGGAGCUAGGGAAAGGACUCAUGGGUAAAUCACUGACUACACAAAUGAGAGCCCAUGACUUUGCAUCCCCAGAACCCACAGACACUAUUGUUUAUCUUUAAUCCCAGUUCUCCUACAGCAAGACGGGAGAUGACAACCAGAUUAUCUCUGGAAGCUCGAAAGCCUGGCAUACUCAGGGGCAAACAGAACUCAAGUAAGGUAAUAAGACCCGUACCAACCCCCCCAAAUGUCCUUAAGCCAAAAAGGAAGAGCUAUGUGAUGCUGACGUAA
RNAcentral lists this long non-coding RNA (361 nucleotides) under Rattus norvegicus (Norway rat). Its description in RNAcentral is "long non-coding RNA NONRATT032646". The record is from RNAcentral. Lineage: Eukaryota; Metazoa; Chordata; Mammalia; Rodentia; Muridae.